This 107-nucleotide small nucleolar RNA is filed under the name Gossypium hirsutum (cotton). RNAcentral's name for it is "Plant small nucleolar RNA R71". It matches the Rfam family "Plant small nucleolar RNA R71". From Rfam's summary of the family: R71 is a member of the C/D box family of snoRNAs containing the C (UGAUGA) and D (CUGA) box motifs. Multiple nearly identical copies of this snoRNA have been identified in Arabidopsis, and it is thought to function as a 2'-O-ribose methylation guide for 18S ribosomal RNA. Lineage: Eukaryota; Viridiplantae; Streptophyta; Magnoliopsida; Malvales; Malvaceae. The record is from Rfam by way of RNAcentral.
AACCCAUGGUGAGAGCACCUUCUCAAUAGAUCCUUGUAUCUCUUCCAUGCAUCAUAGAGUGUUUCUAGAUCCAUCUACACAAAAUAAGAGAUAUCAUUCCUCAACUU